RNAcentral lists this ribosomal RNA (506 nucleotides) under uncultured bacterium. RNAcentral's name for it is "partial 16S ribosomal RNA". It matches the Rfam family "Bacterial small subunit ribosomal RNA", at positions 30 to 523 of the family's 1533-position model. The record is from RNAcentral.
AUUGAACGCUGGCGGCAUGCCUAACACAUGCAAGUCGAACGGCAGCAUGACCUAGCUUGCUAGGUUGAUGGCGAGUGGCGCACGGGUGAGUAAUGCGUAGGAAUAUGCCUUGAAGUGGGGGAUAACCUGGGGAAACUCAGGCUAAUACCGCAUGAGCUCUAAGGAGGAAGGCUGGGGACCGAAAGGCCUGGCGCUUCCAGAUUAGCCUACGUCCGAUUAGCUAGUUGGUAGGGUAAAGGCCUACCAAGGCGACGAUCGGUAGCUGGUCUGAGAGGAUGAUCAGCCACACUGGGACUGAGACACGGCCCAGACUCCUACGGGAGGCAGCAGUGGGGAAUAUUGGACAAUGGGGGCAACCCUGAUCCAGCGAUGCCGCGUGUGUGAAGAAGGCCUGCGGGUUGUAAAGCACUUUCAGUGGGGAGGAGGACUUGGAGGUUAAGAGCUACUAAGUUGGACGUUACCCACAGAAGAAGCACCGGCUAACUCCGUGCCAGCAGCCGCCGUAA